UUAAUUGAAGCCAAAUUAGAGGCAUAUUACUGUUAAUAAUAUCAUUGAAUUUUUAUUCCAAUUAAA
RNAcentral lists this transfer RNA (66 nucleotides) under Calleida angusticollis. RNAcentral's name for it is "tRNA-Asn". The record is from RNAcentral. Lineage: Eukaryota; Metazoa; Arthropoda; Insecta; Coleoptera; Carabidae.